UAAUACGGAGGGUGCAAGCGUUGUCCGGAUUUAUUGGGUUUAAAGGGUGCGUAGGCGGCCCGUUAAGUCCGUGGUGAAAGCCAACAGCUCAACUGUUGAACUGCCAUGGAUACUGACGGGCUUGAGUACAGACGAGGUAGGCGGAAUGGAUGGUGUAGCGGUGAAAUGCAUAGAUACCAUCCAGAACACCGAUUGCGUAGGCAGCUUACUAGGCUGUAACUGACGCUGAGGCACGAAAGCGUGGGGAGCGAACAGGAUUAGAUACCCUGGUAGUCCACGCUGUAAACGAUGAUUACUCGAUGUUGGCGAUACACUGUCAGCGUCUUAGCGAAAGCGUUAAGUAAUCCACCUGGGGAGUACGCCCGCAAGGGUG
RNAcentral lists this ribosomal RNA (373 nucleotides) under uncultured bacterium. RNAcentral describes it as "bacterial SSU rRNA". It matches the Rfam family "Bacterial small subunit ribosomal RNA", at positions 521 to 896 of the family's 1533-position model. The record is from RNAcentral.